UAUUUUCUCUGCUACCCAAUUCUUGUCUACGAGCGUUUCGACUUUCGGCUGUCGUCGUCAUCGAGGAAACGGUGGAGAUCAAUCUCGGUCGAUGACUCUUAUGGCGGCUUCGAGGCCUCCGACGAGAACUCCGGCGAUUUUCUGAAGUCCCUGGAUUGAGUUCCUUCUCGGUCGAGCGCCAUGGCGGCUCCCUUCUUCUCCUCCCCUUUCCAGCCCUACGUCUACCAGGAUUUGUUUGCUCUCAGACGCUGCCAAUACUGUAUGAGAAAUAUGAAGAUCAAAUUGAUAACUUUCUAUAUAAUCUCCUCGGGCAGUUCCAGAAUCACUAUAGCAAGCUGGAUGUGAGUGUGCUGAGUAAACUAUCCAAGGGAAAUCCCAGAUCAAAGAAGAAUGACUAGAGUCCAUCCUUCUUUGGUUCAUCUUGUCUUUUAUUGUGUGAUCGACAUGCUGUAUCGCUGUCAAAUAAAGAUGAAAACCUCCGCCACUAUUGUGAACACAACAGCAGCAAUUCUGUGCAUAGUCCUUUUGCCACCGAAUGCAGGUUUCUGAUAUCCCAACUGGUUGUCAAGCAAUUAUGCAAACAGAGCAUGAUGUUCUUUAGGUCAAUUCCGAUGCAUUCUAAAUGUCUCGUUGAGCAUUCUUAGUUGAUGCUUAA
Musa acuminata subsp. malaccensis (wild Malaysian banana) is the source of this 655-nucleotide long non-coding RNA. RefSeq lists it as uncharacterized. Lineage: Eukaryota; Viridiplantae; Streptophyta; Magnoliopsida; Zingiberales; Musaceae. The record is from RefSeq and is a predicted model, not a curated record.